UGACAAAAAAUAACGAUACGGGACUCAUCCGAGGCCCCGUAAUCGGAAUGAGAACAUCCUAAAUCCUUUAACGAGGAUCUAUUGGAGGGCAAGUCUGGUGCCAGCAGCCGCGGUAAUUCCAGCUCCAAUAGCGUAUAUUAAAGUUGUUGCGGUUAAAAAGCUCGUAGUUGGUUCUGCGUGCCACGCUGUCGGUUCACCGCCUGUCGGUGCAACUGGCAUGUCGUGGCAUGUCCUGCCGGUGGCGGAUAGGCUUCGCGGCGCUCCCUACUCGAUACGUCUUGUAGGUCGUCGCGUUGUCCUUGUACGCCGACUCAAUCCUACCGCGGUGCUCUUUACCGAGUGUCGAGGUAGGCCGGCACAUUUUACUUUGAACAAAUUAGAGUGCUUAAAGCAGGCUCUUAAAUCAGCCUGAAUAGUGGUGCAUGGAAUAAUGGAACAGGACCUUGGUUCUAUUUUGUUGGUUUUAGGAAUCCAAGGUAAUGAUCAAUAAGGACAGGCGGGGGCAUUCGUAUUGCGACGUUAGAGGUGAAAUUCUUGGAUCGUCGCAAGACGCACUAGAGCGAAAGCAUUUGCCAAGUAUGUCUUAAUUGAUCAAGAACGAAAGUUAGAGGUUCGAAGGCGAUCAGAUACC
Molecule: ribosomal RNA, 631 nt
Filed under: Probergrothius nigricornis
Lineage: Eukaryota; Metazoa; Arthropoda; Insecta; Hemiptera; Pyrrhocoridae
Description: SSU rRNA
Rfam family: Eukaryotic small subunit ribosomal RNA
Source: RNAcentral